RNAcentral lists this long non-coding RNA (232 nucleotides) under Mytilus galloprovincialis (Mediterranean mussel). Lineage: Eukaryota; Metazoa; Mollusca; Bivalvia; Mytilida; Mytilidae. The record is from RNAcentral.
AACAGUCACAUUUUGAAUAACAAUAACACAGAAGUAAACUCUGUACAAUUCCUUACAAUAUUCAGGUGCUAAUUGUAGGCAACAUUACACACAUUUAUAAGUCUGCUAGAUAUAAUAAGAAUUUGUUAUAUCGAUCAUGCUGAAUAAUAAGAAGCCUCAUACAUUAUGUGUAUAAAAGAGGGGCGAAAUUCAUCAGAGGGACAGUCAAAUUCAUAGAUCGAAAAUAAACUGA